Molecule: long non-coding RNA, 1468 nt
Organism: Eucalyptus grandis
Lineage: Eukaryota; Viridiplantae; Streptophyta; Magnoliopsida; Myrtales; Myrtaceae
Exons: 2
Source: RefSeq, a predicted model, not a curated record
UCGAACGGCUUCUCUCCCUUUUAGCUUGUUGAGCAAGCCUCUGUCGAUCUUCAUCUUCGUAUAAAGUUCCUUCGUCUCUCUCCGUCAAUCGAGCGCCCACGCCGUGACACCAACGAAGCAACUGCUCUUGUUUUCUUUCCAUCUAUUUCUGCGACUGAAAACCUCUGCCGCACGACUUCCUUCACGCCUGCAGCCACGCACGUCUCCACUAUCAUUUCAUCCUCAUCACCCAUCCAUCUCCACCACCAUAUCAUCACCAUCUAUCAUCAUCCCAUCUUCCACCAUCACCCCACGUCCGUAGCCCAUGCCUCAAGUCAACCAUUGAAGCUUUAGUUGACUGAAGCAGCCCCAAAAUUCCACGAAGCAAGUCCACCGAAGAAACCCCCAUGCGUUUGCUUCUUUUCCUUCGGCUGCCAGCACGUUCGCAAGAUUUUCCCAGGCGGUGACCGAAGCUCCCACGUUUCCUCGUGGCAUCAACGCCCUUGCUUCCUCGUCUUCAGCAAUUUGGAGACCACCGAGUCUUCCAGCAGCCGCGCACGAAGCAACCGAAGACUCACGCCACCACCGAAGCUUUCUGCUAUGUUUCACUGCUUCUAUCUCCGUUCGGUCUUGUGAAGUCAAGCGAAGCAGCCGCGCCAGCGAAGACUCCAUCUUCGCCCACCGAAGCUGCUCCUUCACGCGUCCACGCCAGCUGCUUCCCUGUUCCAUCUUCGGCCACAUGCCUGCUCUCCACCAAUGUUGAUCUUUUCUCCUCAAGCCACCGAAACCCGCUCGAAGCCAGCAACAAAUUCGGCCCAGCUUGUUCAAUCACAGCAAGCCCAGUCCGUGAGCAAGCAUUUUUGCUCAGUCCAGCCCAGCGUUGGCCUCAGAUUUCAAGCCUUUCAGCCCAGUUCGGCCUUCUCUUCAGCAGUUCAGCCCAAGAUGGUUUAGUUCAAGUUACAGCCCAGUAAUUUGAGGCCCAAUUCAGCAUCCCAAUCUUGAAGCCCAAGCCCGUGAAGAAAGCCCAUUUGUAGUCAAGCCCAAGCCCAAGAGCGAACCCGGUCCGAAGUAGGAACAAAUCUCAGUUGAGUUGAGAUUUGUUGGGCCAAGCUUAAGGCUCGGUCCAAGCCCGCCGGUGUUGUCGAAAGCCCGAUUUCGGCCGCCGUCGCGUUGCCGUCGCGGUGAUUCGGUCUCCGCUUUUUCCAAGACCCUGAUGAGGAGCCUGAUGAGAAGGAACCUGAAGAGGAGAACCCUGAUGUGGAACCAAAUGAGGAGGAACAUUUUGGAGAAGAAGAUGACCACGGGGAGGAUCCUGAGUACGACCCGGAUGAGAACUGAGAUCCCAUCUUGUUUUGUCAGACCUUGAUAAUAUGUGGAGAAGUGUUUGAUCGGACCCUGUGAAUAGUAUUACAUUAUAUAUUAUGAGGUACUUUGUGUAAAAAAGUGGUUGUGAAUUUCAGUAUGGAAAUUAUGGCCCUACUAUUCUAUC